AAUGAACGCUGGCGGCAUGCCUUACACAUGCAAGUCGAACGGCAGCAUGACCUAGCUUGCUAGGUUGAUGGCGAGUGGCGAACGGGAGAGUAAUGCAUCGGAACGUGCCUUUUAGUGGGGGAUAACGUAGCGAAAGUUACGCUAAUACCGCAUAUUCUCUGAGGAGGAAAGCAGGGGACCUUCGGGCCUUGCGCUAGAAGAGCGGCCGAUGUCGGAUUAGCUAGUUGGUGAGGUAAAGGCUCACCAAGGCAACGAUCCGUAGCGGGUCUGAGAGGAUGAUCGGCCACACUGGGACUGAGACACGGCCCAGACUCCUACGGGAGGCAGCAGUGGGGAAUUUUGGACAAUGGGCGCAAGCCUGAUCCAGCCAUGCCGCGUGAGUGAAGAAGGCCUUCGGGUUGUAAAGCUCUUUCGGCUGGGAAGAAAUCGCACCCUCUAAUACAGGGUGUGGAUGACGGUACCAGCAUAAGAAGCACCGGCUAACUACGUG
This 490-nucleotide ribosomal RNA is filed under the name uncultured bacterium. RNAcentral describes it as "partial 16S ribosomal RNA". It matches the Rfam family "Bacterial small subunit ribosomal RNA", at positions 29 to 507 of the family's 1533-position model. The record is from RNAcentral.